GCCAAGCUGUGUAACUCUAACUUGUAACUCGAGUGAGGGCACCAAGAUGUUGGGACAUGUCUUAGCAUGCUUAGUUGGGCUCCUGACAGUAGAGGGAUAGCAGGGCUGCUUCACUUCCAGUUAGGUGUGCCAAGCUCUUGAAGGCUGCUUCACUUCCAGUUAGGUGUGCCAAGCUCUUGAACUAUCAUUGUU
Molecule: non-coding RNA, 192 nt
Filed under: Glycine max (soybean)
Lineage: Eukaryota; Viridiplantae; Streptophyta; Magnoliopsida; Fabales; Fabaceae
Source: RNAcentral